This 680-nucleotide ribosomal RNA is filed under the name uncultured bacterium. RNAcentral's name for it is "bacterial SSU rRNA". It matches the Rfam family "Bacterial small subunit ribosomal RNA", at positions 113 to 808 of the family's 1533-position model. The record is from RNAcentral.
ACACGUGAAGAAUCUGCCUUCAACUCUGGGAUAACACCGGGAAACCGGUGCUAAUACCGGAUAUGAGCCUUGAUCGCAUGAUCGGGGCUGGAAAGUUUUUCGGUUGAAGAUGACUUCGCGGCCUAUCAGCUUGUUGGUGAGGUAAUGGCUCACCAAGGCGACGACGGGUAGCCGGCCUGAGAGGGCGACCGGCCACACUGGGACUGAGACACGGCCCAGACUCCUACGGGAGGCAGCAGUGGGGAAUAUUGGGCAAUGGACGAAAGUCUGACCCAGCGACGCCGCGUGCGGGAUGAAGGCCUUCGGGUUGUAAACCGCUUUCAGCAGGGAAGAAGCGAAAGUGACGGUACCUGCAGAAGAAGCACCGGCUAACUAUGUGCCAGCAGCCGCGGUAAUACAUAGGGUGCAAGCGUUGUCCGGAAUUAUUGGGCGUAAAGAGCUCGUAGGUGGUUUGUUACGUCGGAUGUGAAAAUCUAGGGCUCAACCCUAGACCUGCAUCCGAUACGGGCAAGCUUGAGUUUGGUAGGGGAGACUGGAAUUCCUGGUGUAGCGGUGGAAUGCGCAGAUAUCAGGAGGAACACCAAUGGCGAAGGCAGGUCUCUGGGCCAAUACUGACACUGAGGAGCGAAAGUGUGGGGAGCGAACAGGAUUAGAUACCCUGGUAGUCCACACAGUAAACG